Molecule: ribosomal RNA, 425 nt
Filed under: uncultured bacterium
Lineage: Bacteria
Description: partial 16S ribosomal RNA
Rfam family: Bacterial small subunit ribosomal RNA
Source: RNAcentral
GUGGGGAAUAUUGGACAAUGGGCGCAAGCCUGAUCCAGCCAUGCCGCGUGAGUGAUGAAGGCCCUAGGGUUGUAAAGCUCUUUCAGUGGGGACGAUAAUGACGGUACCCACAGAAGAAGCCCCGGCUAACUUCGUGCCAGCAGCCGCGGUAAUACGAAGGGGGCUAGCGUUGUUCGGAUUUACUGGGCGUAAAGCGCACGUAGGCGGAUCGUUAAGUCGAUGGUGAAAUCCUGGAGCUCAACUCCGGAACUGCCUUCGAUACUGGCGAUCUGGAGUCCGGAAGAGGUGAGUGGAACUCCUAGUGUAGAGGUGGAAUUCGUAGAUAUUAGGAAGAACACCAGUGGCGAAGGCGGCUCACUGGUCCGGUACUGACGCUGAGGUGCGAAAGCGUGGGGAGCAAACAGGAUUAGAAACCCUAGUAGUCC